UGGGGAAUUUUCCGCAAUGGGCGAAAGCCUGACGGAGCAAUACCGCGUGAGGGAAGACUGCCUAUGGGUUGUAAACCUCUUUUUUCAGGGAGGAAUAAAAUGACGUGUACCUGAAGAAUAAGCAUCGGCUAACUCCGUGCCAGCAGCCGCGGUAAGACGGAGGAUGCAAGUGUUAUCCGGAAUCACUGGGCGUAAAGCGUCUGUAGGUGGUUUAAUAAGUCAACUGUUAAAUCUUGAGGCUCAACUUCAAAAUCGCAGUCGAAACUAUUAGACUAGAGUAUAGUAGAGGUAAAGGGAAUUUCCAGUGGAGCGGUGAAAUGCGUAGAUAUUGGAAAGAACACCGAUGGCGAAAGCACUUUACUGGGCUAUUACUAACACUCAGAGACGAAAGCUAGGGUAGCAAAUGGGAUUAGAUACCCCAGUAGUCCUAGCYGUAAACUAUGGAUACUAGAUGUUGAAC
RNAcentral lists this ribosomal RNA (460 nucleotides) under uncultured bacterium. Its description in RNAcentral is "bacterial SSU rRNA". It matches the Rfam family "Bacterial small subunit ribosomal RNA", at positions 355 to 828 of the family's 1533-position model. The record is from RNAcentral.